This 481-nucleotide ribosomal RNA is filed under the name uncultured bacterium. RNAcentral describes it as "partial 16S ribosomal RNA". It matches the Rfam family "Bacterial small subunit ribosomal RNA", at positions 28 to 507 of the family's 1533-position model. The record is from RNAcentral.
GAUGAACGCUGGCGGCGUGCUUAACACAUGCAAGUCGAACGAAGCAUUUAGGACAGAUUACUUCGGUUUGAAGUUCUUUAUGACUGAGUGGCGGACGGGUGAGUAACGCGUGGGUAACCUGCCUUGUACUGGGGGAUAGCAGCUGGAAACGGCUGGUAAUACCGCAUAAGCGCACAAUGUUGCAUGACAUGGUGUGAAAAACUCCGGUGGUAUAAGAUGGACCCGCGUCUGAUUAGCUAGUUGGUGAGAUAACAGCCCACCAAGGCGACGAUCAGUAGCCGACCUGAGAGGGUGACCGGCCACAUUGGGACUGAGACACGGCCCAGACUCCUACGGGAGGCAGCAGUGGGGAAUAUUGCACAAUGGAGGAAAAUCUGAUGCAGCGACGCCGCGUGAGUGAAGAAGUAAUUCGUUAUGUAAAGCUCUAUCAGCAGGGAAGAUAGUGACGGUACCUGACUAAGAAGCUCCGGCUAAAUACGUG